RNAcentral lists this ribosomal RNA (450 nucleotides) under uncultured bacterium. RNAcentral's name for it is "bacterial SSU rRNA". It matches the Rfam family "Bacterial small subunit ribosomal RNA", at positions 28 to 476 of the family's 1533-position model. The record is from RNAcentral.
GAUGAACGCUGGCGGCGUGCUUAACACAUGCAAGUCGAACGAAGCACUUUAAUCGAUUUCUUCGGAUUGAAAUUUUAGUGACUGAGUGGCGGACGGGUGAGUAACGCGUGGGUAACCUGCCUCACACAGGGGGAUAACAGUUGGAAACGGCUGCUAAUACCGCAUAAGCGCACAGUACCGCAUGGUACAGUGUGAAAAACUCCGGUGGUGUGAGAUGGACCCGCGUCUGAUUAGCUAGUUGGCAGGGCAACGGCCUACCAAGGCGACGAUCAGUAGCCGACCUGAGAGGGUGACCGGCCACAUUGGGACUGAGACACGGCCCAAACUCCUACGGGAGGCAGCAGUGGGGAAUAUUGCACAAUGGGGGAAACCCUGAUGCAGCGACGCCGCGUGAGCGAAGAAGUAUUUCGGUAUGUAAAGCUCUAUCAGCAGGGAAGAAGAAAUGACGGU